GGCCAGACUCCUACGGGAGGCAGCAGUGGGGGAUAUUGCACAAUGGGGGAAACCCUGAUGCAGCGACGCCGCGUGGGCGAAGAAGUAUUUCGGUAUGUAAAGCCCUAUCAGCAGGGAAGAAGAAAUGACGGUACCUGAGUAAGAAGCACCGGCUAAAUACGUGCCAGCAGCCGCGGUAAUACGUAUGGUGCAAGCGUUAUCCGGAUUUACUGGGUGUAAAGGGAGCGCAGGCGGCACGGCAAGCCUGAUGUGAAAACCCGGGGCCCAACCCCGGGACCGCACCGGAUACUGCCGGACUCGAGUGCCGGAGGGGCAGGCGGAAUUCCUGGUGUAGCGGUGAAAUGCGCAGAUAUCAGGAGGAACACCGGUGGCGAAGGCGGCCUGCUGGACGGUAACUGACGCUGAGGCUCGAAAGCGUGGGGAGCGAACAGGAUUAGAUACCCUUGUAA
Molecule: ribosomal RNA, 449 nt
Filed under: uncultured bacterium
Lineage: Bacteria
Description: bacterial SSU rRNA
Rfam family: Bacterial small subunit ribosomal RNA
Source: RNAcentral